This 92-nucleotide transfer RNA is filed under the name Photobacterium damselae. Its description in RNAcentral is "tRNA-Gly". It matches the Rfam family "tRNA". From Rfam's summary of the family: Transfer RNA (tRNA) molecules are approximately 80 nucleotides in length. Their secondary structure includes four short double-helical elements and three loops (D, anti-codon, and T loops). Lineage: Bacteria; Pseudomonadati; Pseudomonadota; Gammaproteobacteria; Vibrionales; Vibrionaceae. The record is from RNAcentral. RNAcentral also lists the same sequence under 1 other name.
GCGACACUAGCUCAGUUGGUAGAGCGCAACCUUGCCAAGGUUGAGGUCACGCCUAGUUCUUAAAAAGAUCAGGAACCUCGUGUGUCGCUCCA